UGCAGAGAUCCUGAACAAAUUGAUUCACGCAGUGGAGAUUAAUACCCGCGACCCCUCAAUAUCGGUGCGAAUAACUGCUUCUUGGGCUUUGGCAAACAUAUGUGAUUCUAUCCAGCACUGUAUUGAUACUCUUGCUUUGGAAGGCUCCACAGGUGGGUUAUAUGUUACAGAAGCUAUUUAUUAUUUUCAACUACUUUAUUUGAAAAGUUAUUGAUGUAUUAUACUUUUCCUUAGACUAUACUGCAGUCUCUGAAUCAGUGGCAUUACUAACUGAUUAUACUGAAAUGACAGCACAUAACACCAAAAUGAAUCAUCUGAUAGUAUCAACCGUGAUAGUGCCCCUGUGCUUAAACUGGAAUGACAACACAUAAAGUAUUGCAUUUUUUUGUUGAUUUUCUGAUGAUCUUUCGAAGUUCUUCUUUCAUGUUGUUUCUUCAAUUUCUUCUAUUACUGAUU
Humulus lupulus (European hop) is the source of this 456-nucleotide long non-coding RNA. RefSeq lists it as uncharacterized. The record is from RefSeq and is a predicted model, not a curated record. The transcript has 2 exons. NCBI's taxonomy places the organism in Eukaryota, Viridiplantae, Streptophyta, Magnoliopsida, Rosales, Cannabaceae.